This 691-nucleotide unclassified non-coding RNA is filed under the name Bombus terrestris (buff-tailed bumblebee). RNAcentral's name for it is "misc RNA ENSBTSG00005031985.1". The record is from RNAcentral. Lineage: Eukaryota; Metazoa; Arthropoda; Insecta; Hymenoptera; Apidae.
AGCUUCUUGAUAUCGGAGGCCAAUAUGACGCAAAGAAGUAUGUAAAAGUUGUCUAUGUGCCAUAUGAUAUAUAAAUGAAAGGCGUUAACGGCGCGUUACUGCGUCGCCUAGUUAAUUAGAAGAAUUAAUUAGCAUCGAUAAGUAGCAUAAUUAAUAUGCGCAACCGAGGCGCCUUCCUCCGGAUGUCGAUGCGGUGUCGAAGAUGUCGCGAUUUUCGGCAUCGUGAAACGAACUCCCACACCUCCAUCUUCGACCACCUACGAUGAUUCGUGCAUCACAUCGAAUUAGCAGAAUACCAAGAUCUUAUAGAAAGAGAGCUUCAUCCCAGAAAAAAAUCUUAUACCAAGAAGGUUAAAAAUCGAACGAAAGUCUAUUUACGAAAUUCAACUGUUUUGAUAAUUUAUAGCAUAGGUGCGAAUAAAAUAUUUGUAAUGGAAAAGUUUCGUUUCUUAGAGAAUCUAUGCCUUACACCUCAUUGUAUUUCCAAUACUAUGCUCCACUAAAUAAUGAUUCACGUUUGUCUGCUUACUUUCGAUACGUCGUGCUAUAAUCGUCGUUACAGCUCCCCACGAUCUGCGUAUAUCGCGAUCGAUCGGCUAGAACUAUCGUACUGGUGAUUAGGUAUCGCAAUGACAAAAAUUCGAGGGGAGUCAAGUAAUAAGAUCACGCACGUGAUCAUGUGUGCCGCGUC